AUUGAACGCUGGCGGCAUGCCUUACACAUGCAAGUCGAACGGCAGCACGGGAGUAAUCCUGGUGGCGAGUGGCGAACGGGUGAGUAAAGCAUCGGAACGUGCCCAGUCGUGGGGGAUAACGUAGCGAAAGCUACGCUAAUACCGCAUACGAUCUGUGGAUGAAAGCGGGGGACCGUAAGGCCUCGCGCGAUUGGAGCGGCCGAUGUCAGAUUAGGUAGUUGGUGAGGUAAAGGCUCACCAAGCCGACGAUCUGUAGCUGGUCUGAGAGGACGACCAGCCACACUGGGACUGAGACACGGCCCAGACUCCUGCGGGAGGCAGCAGUGGGGAAUUUUGGACAAUGGGCGCAAGCCUGAUCCAGCAAUGCCGCGUGCAGGAUGAAGGCCUUCGGGUUGUAAACUGCUUUUGUACGGAGCGAAAAGGCUUCCACUAAUACUGGGGGCUCAUGACGGUACCGUAAGAAUAAGCACCGGCUAACCACGUG
Molecule: ribosomal RNA, 484 nt
Filed under: uncultured bacterium
Lineage: Bacteria
Description: partial 16S ribosomal RNA
Rfam family: Bacterial small subunit ribosomal RNA
Source: RNAcentral